CGAGGUGGCCGGGUGACCGCGGCGCAAGCUGAGGAAAGUCCGGACUCCACAGAGCAGGGUGGUGGGUAACGCCCACCCGGGGUGACCCGCGGGAAAGUGCCACAGAAAGCAGACCGCCCCUCACGGGGUAAGGGUGAAAGGGUGGGGUAAGAGCCCACCGCGUCGGUGGUGACAUCGGCGGCACGGCAAACCCCACCUGGAGCAAGACCAAGAAGGGCUUCGGCCCGCGGAUGCCGUUCGAGCGUGGCUCGCGCGAGGUGUCCGGGUAGGUUGCACGACGGCGGCGGAAGUCGGCGUCGGAGGCCAUCGGCAACGAUGGUCACAGAUGGAUGGUCACCGGCUCCCGUCAGGGAGUCACAGAAUUCGGCUUACAGGCCACCUCGUCCC
Molecule: RNase P RNA, 387 nt
Filed under: Propionibacterium sp.
Lineage: Bacteria; Bacillati; Actinomycetota; Actinomycetes; Propionibacteriales; Propionibacteriaceae
Description: RNase P RNA component class A
Rfam family: Bacterial RNase P class A
About the family: Ribonuclease P (RNase P) is a ubiquitous endoribonuclease, found in archaea, bacteria and eukarya as well as chloroplasts and mitochondria.
Source: RNAcentral